Molecule: long non-coding RNA, 592 nt
Organism: Ornithodoros turicata
Lineage: Eukaryota; Metazoa; Arthropoda; Arachnida; Ixodida; Argasidae
Exons: 3
Source: RefSeq, a predicted model, not a curated record
UCCUCCUCGUAACGCCCCUGCAGGCAACGCAGAAUAUUGGCAUGCUCUAUCCAUAAAGUUGUCCGUCUUCGCAUUAAAAUGUGAUGAAACUCACAGAAACUUUUGGACUGCCUUCAGCAGUCAGCUAUGUUGACGGCACACCUGAACAGCCUUCACACGACCAAGAAGGUGCGACCAAUGCCCGCGUGAAUGACUCGUCAUUCAACGAUUCAACAACGAAAAAGAACAUUGAGCUAUGCGCCACGUUCUGACGAAGAAAAAGAACUAAUGGCCAUUCUCUGUGGGACGAAGAAGAAGAUUAUGGUGUCAUACAUUGCCACGCACUGCGCAGAGGCGACGUAAAUGCAGCCUGAAGUUUCUUUUCCAAGUUCCAGGCGUCCUAAACCUGUAGGAUACAAGGCUCAGAUAGCAGGGCGUUUCCUAGUAGUCGUCUUCAUCAUCAUUUCCAUCCUCGUAGUAUUCUUUUCGGCUUGCACAAUCCUCAUCGCACUGGGCGACUUCAAGUUCCGAGAGGCAUCGACUAAGCUGCAGCAUUUUUGGCUGAAACCCUCAGAUUGUGAGCAGUUGAUUCGUUUUGCCCCAGUGCACUGAU